AGUGAACGCUGGCGGUAGGCCUAACACAUGCAAGUCGAACGGCAGCACAGUAAGAGCUUGCUCUUACGGGUGGCGAGUGGCGGACGGGUGAGGAAUACAUCGGAAUCUACUUUUUCGUGGGGGAUAACGUAGGGAAACUUACGCUAAUACCGCAUACGACCUACGGGUGAAAGCAGGGGAUCUUCGGACCUUGCGCGAUUGAAUGAGCCGAUGUCGGAUUAGCUAGUUGGCGGGGUAAAGGCCCACCAAGGCGACGAUCCGUAGCUGGUCUGCGAGGAUGAUCAGCCACACUGGAACUGAGACACGGUCCAGACUCCUACGGGAGGCAGCAGUGGGGAAUAUUGGGCAAUGGGCGCAAGCCUGAUCCAGCCAUACCGCGUGGGUGAAGAAGGCCUUCGGGUUGUAAAGCCCUUUUGUUGGGAAAGAAAAGCAGCAGGUUAAUACCCCGCUGUUCUGACGGUACCCAAAGAAUAAGCACCGGCUAACUUCGUG
RNAcentral lists this ribosomal RNA (492 nucleotides) under uncultured bacterium. RNAcentral's name for it is "partial 16S ribosomal RNA". It matches the Rfam family "Bacterial small subunit ribosomal RNA", at positions 29 to 507 of the family's 1533-position model. The record is from RNAcentral.